CCCUUAGACGUUCUGGGCCGCACGCGCGCUACACUGACGAAGGCAACGAGCUUUCCUUUACCGAAAGGUACGGGUAAUCUUUUGAAACUUCGUCGUGCUGGGGAUAGAUCCUUGCAAUUUUUGAUCUUAAACGAGGAAUUCCUAGUAAGCGCAAGUCAUCAACUUGCGUUGAUUACGUCCCUGCCCUUUGUACACACCGCCCGUCGCUACUACCGAUUGGAUGGUUUAGUGAGGCCUUCGGAUCCGCGACUCGUUUUGUGGAGAAGUUGGACAAACUCAGUCAUUUAGAGGAAGUAAAAGUCGUAACA
This 308-nucleotide ribosomal RNA is filed under the name uncultured eukaryote. RNAcentral describes it as "partial 18S ribosomal RNA". It matches the Rfam family "Eukaryotic small subunit ribosomal RNA", at positions 1470 to 1796 of the family's 1831-position model. The record is from RNAcentral.